GACGAACGCUGGCGGCGUGCUUAACACAUGCAAGUCGAACGGAAAGGCCCUGCUUUUGUGGGGUGCUCGAGUGGCGAACGGGUGAGUAACACGUGAGUAACCUGCCCUUGACUUUGGGAUAACUUCACGUAACGGGGGCUAAUCCCGGAUAGCAGCUCCUGCUCCAGGGUGGGGGUUGGAACGUCUCGGCGGUUGGGGUUGGACUCGCGGCUUAUCAGCUUGUUGGUGGGGUAGUGGCUUACCAAGGCUUUGACGGGUAGCCGGCCUGGGAGGGUGGCCGGCCACAUUGCUCCUGAGGGAGGGAGCAGACGCCUACGGGGGGCAGCGGGGGGAAAUAUUGCACAAUGGGCGGGAGCGUGAUGCAGAAACGUUGCGGGCGGGAUGACGUCCUGCUGGUAGUAAACCGCUUUCGCCUGUGACGAAGCGUGAGUGACGGUAAUGGGUAAAGAAGCACCGGCUAACUACGUG
This 468-nucleotide ribosomal RNA is filed under the name uncultured bacterium. Its description in RNAcentral is "partial 16S ribosomal RNA". It matches the Rfam family "Bacterial small subunit ribosomal RNA", at positions 28 to 507 of the family's 1533-position model. The record is from RNAcentral.